AUUGAACGCUAGCGGGAUGCCUAACACAUGCAAGUCGAACGAGUGGCGGACGGGUGAGUAAUAUAUCGGAACGUGCCUAGUAGCGGGGGAUAACUACUGGAAAGGGUGGCUAAUACCGCAUACCAUCGGAUGUGCCCCUAUGGGAUUAGCUAGUUGGUGGGGUAAAGGCUCACAAAGGCAACGAUCCGUAGCUGGUUUGAGAGGAGGACCAGCCACACUGGAACUGAGACACGGCCCAGACUCCUACGGGAGGCAGCAGUGGGGAAUAUUGGACAAUGGGGGAAAGCCUGAUGCAGCCAUCCCGCGUGUAUGAGAAGGCCUUCGGGUUGUAAAGUACUUUUGGCAGAGAAGCGGUAUCUGCAGAAUAAGCACCGGCUAACUACGUGCCAGCAGCCGCGGUAAUAC
This 405-nucleotide ribosomal RNA is filed under the name uncultured bacterium. RNAcentral's name for it is "partial 16S ribosomal RNA". It matches the Rfam family "Bacterial small subunit ribosomal RNA", at positions 30 to 526 of the family's 1533-position model. The record is from RNAcentral.